UUCUGUUAGGCGGUGCCUAUCUGCUGCGAUCAAACUGUGCGUGUAUUAGAUGAUGCCUUGUUGUGAACUAAGAAAAAAAUAUUAAAUGUGUCAAACUUUUCAGAUCACAUUCACCUUAAAAGCUUAAACAAACAAGGGCACAAGGCCCAUCAAAUUCUAAAUCUUCAAGAUUUUUAUUCGACCCCUGGCCUUUUUUCGUUACAUUUAGACCCAACUGGGCACUUGCACAAACUCUUUCUUCUGCAGUGGUGUGGCAAAUGUUGUGCUGUAAUUGAAACGAAAAUAUAAUGAGAGUGAUGGCUCUGUAGGUAAUACGAUUGUUAAUGAUCAACAAUUCCAGCCUUGCGGGGGUACAGGACAGUGGCAUUGGUACAGGGUACGGUACAUAGGUAUGGGUAUGGUCAAAUGAAAUAAAAUUUAUACCAACAAGUGAUAUAAGGAAAUAAGGUUCAUAAGAAGACAGUAUAAGGCUCACAUUUCAUACACUCCAAUCCAACAAGCGUAAGGUUCACAGUUCACACGUAUGCGAAUAAAAGGAAAUAAGUAUCUGGCAUAAGCAUACAUGAGGGAAUAACUUUCAAGCUAGGCGAAUAAAUGACAUUAGGUGCAUAACAAGCUCCCAGUGGUUGCAUGUGUUCCACAUCCUUUGGUUUGUACUCUCUAGUACUCCUCUUUUGAGCAAGG
RNAcentral lists this long non-coding RNA (684 nucleotides) under Brachypodium distachyon (stiff brome). RNAcentral's name for it is "long non-coding RNA (BDIS_LNC001511)". Lineage: Eukaryota; Viridiplantae; Streptophyta; Magnoliopsida; Poales; Poaceae. The record is from RNAcentral.